UACGUAGGGGGCAAGCGUUGUCCGGAAUUAUUGGGCGUAAAGCGCGCGCAGGCGGUUCUUUAAGUCUGGUGUCUAAGUGCGGGGCUCAACCCCGUGAUGCACUGGAAACUGGGGAACUUGAGUGCAGAAGAGGAGAGCGGAAUUCCACGUGUAGCGGUGAAAUGCGUAGAUACUGGGAGGAACACCGGUGGCGAAGGCGGCUACCUGGACCGGUUCUGACGCUGAUGCGCGAAAGCGUGGGUAGCAAACAGG
This 252-nucleotide ribosomal RNA is filed under the name uncultured bacterium. Its description in RNAcentral is "partial 16S ribosomal RNA". It matches the Rfam family "Bacterial small subunit ribosomal RNA", at positions 524 to 776 of the family's 1533-position model. The record is from RNAcentral.